This 333-nucleotide long non-coding RNA is filed under the name Capra hircus (goat). RNAcentral describes it as "lncRNA (ENSCHIG00000004529.1)". The record is from RNAcentral. Lineage: Eukaryota; Metazoa; Chordata; Mammalia; Artiodactyla; Bovidae.
GUGGGGGCUGGUUGUUGGGAGGAGAAGAGCUCUUUCUUGUUCUCAGUUCACCCCUUUCUUGAAACUCUCAGAGUGCAGAACCAAAAAAAGAGCUCCGCAGGCCUGGAGACACCAUGUUGACCAUCUCCUGUGUGACGCAUCCUGUGGAUUUCAUCAAGAGGCUUUUCUGGAGACCGAAAGUGGUGGAUGGGACUCUCAGCAAGCGUGCACUGAGCUCAAGAAUCCGGCUGUACCAUGAGCCUUCUUCUUGCGGCUGCUGAGGUUGGUGUCACUCUACGGUCAGCCUUGGGUUUUGAAAGGAUGGGAAAGGCACAAUUUCUGAUUAUAUCAAGG